UACGUAGGGCGCAAGCGUUGUCCGGAAUUAUUGGGCGUAAAGAGCUCGUAGGUGGUCUGUUACGUCUGCUGUGAAAACCCAGGGCUUAACCCUGGGCCUGCAGUGGAUACGGGCAGACUAGAGGUAGGUAGGGGAGAAUGGAAUUCCCGGUGUAGCGGUGAAAUGCGCAGAUAUCGGGAGGAACACCGGUGGCGAAGGCGGUUCUCUGGGCCUUACCUGACACUGAGGAGCAAAAGCGUGGGGAGCGAACAGG
Molecule: ribosomal RNA, 253 nt
Filed under: uncultured bacterium
Lineage: Bacteria
Description: partial 16S ribosomal RNA
Rfam family: Bacterial small subunit ribosomal RNA
Source: RNAcentral